UGGGGAAUAUUGGACAAUGGGCGCAAGCCUGAUCCAGCCAUGCCGCGUGAGUGAUGAAGGCCUUAGGGUUGUAAAGCUCUUUCGUCCGGGACGAUAAUGACGGUACCGGAAGAAGAAGCCCCGGCUAACUUCGUGCCAGCAGCCGCGGUAAUACGAAGGGGGCUAGCGUUGCUCGGAAUCACUGGGCGUAAAGGGCGCGUAGGCGGCCAAUCAAGUCAGGGGUGAAAUCCCGAGGCUUAACCUCGGAACUGCCUUUGAUACUGUUUGGCUCGAGACCGGAAGAGGUAAGUGGAACUGCGAGUGUAGAGGUGAAAUUCGUAGAUAUUCGCAAGAACACCAGUGGCGAAGGCGGCUUACUGGUCCGGUUCUGACGCUGAGGCGCGAAAGCGUGGGGAGCAAACAG
Molecule: ribosomal RNA, 403 nt
Filed under: uncultured bacterium
Lineage: Bacteria
Description: bacterial SSU rRNA
Rfam family: Bacterial small subunit ribosomal RNA
Source: RNAcentral